UGCUCUCAUGCUACCUGGGGAAGGCAAGAAGGAGAUACUCUUAAGCAGGGAGUCUCUUUAUCCCUAGGGUGACUCUGGAACUGUGUGACGUGCUGCUGGAUUCUACUGGACACUUGGACAGUACACUAUGAACAGCUCUUAAUUGACCAACAAGGAGUGACAUGGUUUACAGACGACAGUUCCAAAGUGAAUGGACAACAUUCUGUUUGGAUGGCUGCUACUUUGAUCAAAGAAAGUAAAAACGUAUCAGCAAGCUCCAUGAUAGCCUUCAAGCCAUACAGCUCACAACCACAGUAGCUGUGAAAACUACCAACCUAGCAACCACUGGAGGAAACAAAACAGGUUUAGAGCUCACCAAAAAGCCCAAGACUUGUCACUGUUAGACCUGUCAGUCAGCUACCUGGAAAAGCUCCAUUCUCCAGGAGACUGGCUAAGGAAGAAUGCGAUCUGUGGAAACAACAGAACUGGCAUCACCUGAGAGCUUGCAGAUACCACAGAAACUCCGGCCCUACCCAGAUGUACUAAAUGAGGUCCUCCGUGUUGCUAUGCUGAAUUCAACUGAAGAAGCUGAAGUAUUGCACCUUUACGCUACAUACUUUACAGUUCACAAAUACACUAUUUCAUGUAUGACUUGUCCUC
Long non-coding RNA from Homo sapiens (human), 639 nucleotides. RefSeq annotates it as BMP2K antisense RNA 1. The record is from RefSeq and is a predicted model, not a curated record. Lineage: Eukaryota; Metazoa; Chordata; Mammalia; Primates; Hominidae. The transcript has 4 exons.